GCCAGAGUGGUGGAACGGUAGACACGCCGGCCUUAGGAGCCGGUGCCCCAACGGGCGUGAGGGUUCGAAUCCCUUCUCUGGUA
This 83-nucleotide transfer RNA is filed under the name Nocardioidaceae bacterium. RNAcentral describes it as "tRNA-Leu". It matches the Rfam family "tRNA". From Rfam's summary of the family: Transfer RNA (tRNA) molecules are approximately 80 nucleotides in length. Their secondary structure includes four short double-helical elements and three loops (D, anti-codon, and T loops). Further hydrogen bonds mediate the characteristic L-shaped molecular structure. tRNAs have two regions of fundamental functional importance: the anti-codon, which is responsible for specific mRNA codon recognition, and the 3' end, to which the tRNAs corresponding amino acid is attached (by aminoacyl-tRNA synthetases). tRNAs cope with the degeneracy of the genetic code in two manners: having more than one tRNA (with a specific anti-codon) for a particular amino acid; and 'wobble' base-pairing, i.e. permitting non-standard base-pairing at the 3rd anti-codon position. The record is from RNAcentral. Lineage: Bacteria; Bacillati; Actinomycetota; Actinomycetes; Propionibacteriales; Nocardioidaceae.